Molecule: long non-coding RNA, 1625 nt
Filed under: Anas platyrhynchos platyrhynchos (common mallard)
Lineage: Eukaryota; Metazoa; Chordata; Aves; Anseriformes; Anatidae
Description: lncRNA (ENSAPLG00000019897.1)
Source: RNAcentral
UGAAGGAGUACCAGGAGCUGCUGAACAUCAAGAUUGCCCUGGAUGUGGAGAUUGCCAUGUACAGGAAGCUGCUGGAGGGAGAGGAGAACAGGUACCAUUCUUUAUUUGUGUCUAUUUGACUAAACCAUUCUUGAUAGACUAUUCUAUGUGUGGAUUGGGUCUUGUCCUAACCCACUGGAGAUUAAAGUCAUAUUUUAAACAUGCUUUAAUUCUUAGCCCUACUCAAAAAUGUUUUGCAUCUUUCUUAUAAGAGGUGGCUUUGGUGUUGCUUAUUUGUGUUAAGAAAUAAUUGGGAAAAUCAGAAAGAAUUUGGAAAAUACAUACAGUAAAUAAAAAAGGAAAAUCUCAGCUGAAAAAGCUUGCACUUCCAGUAAGACUAACUGGUACUGUUUUCAUUUUCAGGCUUUGCAACGACGGCAUGUCCAACGUGAAUGUCUCUGUGGUAGGCAGGACCACCAUGUCCGGAGGCCGAGGAGGCAUGGGAGGAGGCUUCGGAGGCAGCGGCAUGGGAGGAGGCUUCGGCGGCAGCGGCAUGGGAGGAGGCUUUGGCGGCAGCGGCAUGGGAGGAGGCUUCGGCGGCAGCGGCAUGGGAGGAGGAAUGGGAGGAGGAGUAUGUGGAGUAGGAGGAGGCGUUGGAGGUGGAAGCUCUGGAGGCAGCUGUGGCAUGGGAGGAGGAAUGUACAGCGGAGGCUUCUCUUCUGGAAGUGGAAGGAUGUGCGCGUCUGGAGGUGGCAACUUCAGCUCCGGUGGGGGAUCCUCCUCCGUCCGCAGAUGUGUCACAACCACCUCCGUCAAGUCUUCAGGAGUAAGGUUCUGAGCCCUGAAGGCAGAUCGAGAAACAAAAGAAGCUUCUCCUCCCCUCUCCUGGCAGCAGCCCAGCCUCCUUAAAUCCGACUCCAGUAUCCCGCAAGGAAACGAACUGUGUCCCUCUCGGUCCACCACCUACCCGCUGGGCCUCCGGGCUCCUUCGCAGGAGGGGAGCCUCGUGGCCGUGCCACACUGCUCACUAGCCCCAUGCCCAGCGAUGAAUAACUGAGCAAAGAAAAGUGUCUCGUGUGGAUACCCAGUGCGGAGAGCUGAUUUAAAGGAGGGAAAUGCUCUGCCUUUCUUGCUGCCUUGUACAUUUCUAGCUGCCUUGUGGCAAACGUGUAUAAAAACACUCUCUGUGCCUAUUCCGUCAGGUUGCUUCCUAGAUGGCCGUAUCCCUGGGGUGCUUCUGCAUGCAGUACAUCCUGCUUCCAUUCACUUGUGCUGCGGGGCAUGGCAGGCAGGGGCAAGUGGACUCCUCCCUUGGCAGAGCCGGGGAGCGAGCAGCCUCUCUGCAGGCGACCAGAGGGACAAAUUGUCCCGGGGCGAAGCACCUGGGCAGCUUUAGGUGCUUGGAGUCUCCUGCUAGACGCAGGAGCACUCUCGAGCCGUGGCUUCGGGCUCCACUUGCCCUUGCUCCAUGGUACCUGCUGACACCUCCUGCCCGCGUGGACUCUUUGCAAAGAAAACCAAACUUGCUUUUCUGCGCUAGGCCCGCUGUGACAUGGAACCAGAUGUACUGUGCCCCCUCCUUUCCUUUCUGUGUGUGAUAUGUCCUUGGGAUGUUGCCAUUCUCAAUAAAUUGCAGAGAACAUUCA